AAACGUUUGCAGACAGAUGCGAGACUCCCCAGCCUCUGUGCUCUCUCCGGGCUCUGCAUGAGGCGACUUGAGCCGCUUCCCGGAACAGGCCAGGACACAGGGAUGAUGUUCUGCGGGUGAGGCUGCGCUGUGCCAGGCUAGGCCCUGGACACAUCUGGAUGCUUAACCCC
This 170-nucleotide long non-coding RNA is filed under the name Canis lupus familiaris (dog). RNAcentral describes it as "lncRNA (ENSCAFG00000033774.3, ENSCAFG00845015517.1)". The record is from RNAcentral. Lineage: Eukaryota; Metazoa; Chordata; Mammalia; Carnivora; Canidae.